RNAcentral lists this ribosomal RNA (423 nucleotides) under uncultured eukaryote. RNAcentral describes it as "partial 18S ribosomal RNA". It matches the Rfam family "Eukaryotic small subunit ribosomal RNA", at positions 592 to 976 of the family's 1831-position model. The record is from RNAcentral.
CAAUAGCGUAUUCUAACGUUGCUGCAGUUAAAAGGCUCGUAGUCGAACCUAUGGCCCUCGCAGGGCUGGCCCCGUGCCAAGCGCACGCGUGUUUUGCCGGCUUUCCUGCGAGCCAUCUUUUCUGGAGAGCGCCCCUGCCCUUGACUGGUGCCGGGUGGUGUGAUCCAGAUCUUUUACUGUGAGUAAAUCAGAGUGCUCAAAGCAGGCUUUUUGCAGCUUGUAUGCAUUAGCAUGGAAUAAUGAGAUAGGACUUUGGUCUGUUCCUGCUCCUUCGGGGGUGGGCUGUUUCGUUGGCUUCCAGGAUCAAAGUAAUGAUGAAGAGGGAUAGUUGGGGGUGCUAGUAUUCAGUGGUCAGCGGUGAAAUGCAUGGACCCACUGAAGACUAACUCAUGCGAAAGCAUUCACCAAGGAUAUCUUCUUUGA